This 406-nucleotide ribosomal RNA is filed under the name Bacillota bacterium. Its description in RNAcentral is "Firmicutes bacterium partial 16S ribosomal RNA". It matches the Rfam family "Bacterial small subunit ribosomal RNA", at positions 355 to 776 of the family's 1533-position model. The record is from RNAcentral. Lineage: Bacteria; Bacillati; Bacillota.
CAAGGAAUCUUCCGCAAUGGGCGAAAGCCUGACGGAGCAACGCCGCGUGUGGGAUGACGCCUUUCGGGGUGUAAACCACUUUUCCCUGGGAAGAAGCACUGACGGUACUUGAGGAAUAAGGACCGGCUAACUACGUCCCAGCAGCCGCGGUAAUACGUAGGGUCCGAGCGUUGUCCGGAGUUACUGGGCGUAAAGCGCGCGCAGGCGGCGGUGUAAGCAUUGCGUGAAUGCCCCAGGCUUAACCUGGGAGGGUCGUCGUGGACUGCAGCGCUUGAGAGCGGUAGGGGCUGGUGGAAUGCCUGGGGUAGUGGUGAAAUGCGUAGAGAUCAGGCGGAACACCCGUGGCGAAGGCGGCCAGCUGGGCCGUACCUGACGCUGAGGCGCGAAGGCGUGGGGAGCGAACGGG